CCCUUAGAUGUUCUGGGCCGCACGCGCGCUACACUGAUGCUUUCAACGAGUUUCUUCCUGGUCCGAGAGGAAUGGGUAACCUUUUGAAAGUGCAUCGUGAUAGGGAUAGACUAUUGCAAUUAUUGGUCUUCAACGAGGAAUUCCUAGUAGACGUAGUUCAUCAGACUGCAUCGAUUACGUCCCUGCCCUUUGUACACACCGCCCGUCGCUCCUACCGAUUGAAUGCUCAGGUGAGCCAUUCGGACUUUCAUCAUGCUGGUUUCCAGUUUUGAUGAAGGAAAGUCUUGCGAACCUUAUCAUUUAGAGGAAGGAGAAGUCGUAACA
RNAcentral lists this ribosomal RNA (324 nucleotides) under uncultured eukaryote. Its description in RNAcentral is "partial 18S ribosomal RNA". It matches the Rfam family "Eukaryotic small subunit ribosomal RNA", at positions 1470 to 1796 of the family's 1831-position model. The record is from RNAcentral.